AGGCAUGCGCAGCUACCAUGCAGCCGAGCGGUAUAGAUCUUUCGGGAUCUAGAGAGCGGCGUACGGGUGCGGAACACGUGUGCAACCUGCCUUUAUCUGGGGGAUAGCCUUUCGAAAGGGAGAUUAAUACCCCAUAAUAUAUCAGAUGGCAUCAUUUGAUAUUGAAAACUCCGGUGGAUAGAGAUGGGCACGCGCAAGAUUAGAUAGUUGGUGAGGUAACGGCUCACCAAGUCUACGAUCUUUAGGGGGCCUGAGAGGGUGAUCCCCCACACUGGUACUGAGACACGGACCAGACUCCUACGGGAGGCAGCAGUGAGGAAUAUUGGACAAUGGGUGAGAGCCUGAUCCAGCCAUCCCGCGUGAAGGACGACGGCCCUAUGGGUUGUAAACUUCUUUUGUAUAGGGAUAAACCUACCCUCGUGAGGGUAGCUGAAGGUACUAUACGAAUAAGCACCGGCUAACUCCGUGCCAGCAGCCGCGGUAAUACGGAGGGUGCAAGCGUUAUCCGGAUUUAUUGGGUUUAAAGGGUCCGUAGGCGGAUGUGUAAGUCAGUGGUGAAAUCUCACAGCUUAACUGUGAAACUGCCAUUGAUACUGCAUGUCUUGAGUGUUGUUGAAGUAGCUGGAAUAAGUAGUGUAGCGGUGAAAUGCAUAGAUAUUACUUAGAACACCAAUUGCGAAGGCAGGUUACUAAGCAACAACUGACGCUGAUGGACGAAAGCGUGGGGAGCGAACAGGAUUAGAUACCCUGGUAGUCCACGCCGUAAACGAUGCUAACUCGUUUUUGGGCUUUCGGGUUCAGAGACUAAGCGAAAGUGAUAAGUUAGCCACCUGGGGAGUACGUUCGCAAGAAUGAAACUCAAAGGAAUUGACGGGGGCCCGCACAAGCGGUGGAUUAUGUGGUUAAUUCGAUGAUACGCGAGGACCUUACCAGGCUUAAUGGGAAUGACAGGUUAGAAUAGACUUUCUUCGGAAUUUUUCAGGUGCUGAUGGUGCGUC
This 998-nucleotide ribosomal RNA is filed under the name Chryseobacterium indologenes. RNAcentral describes it as "bacterial SSU rRNA". It matches the Rfam family "Bacterial small subunit ribosomal RNA", at positions 40 to 1053 of the family's 1533-position model. The record is from RNAcentral. Lineage: Bacteria; Pseudomonadati; Bacteroidota; Flavobacteriia; Flavobacteriales; Weeksellaceae.